This is a non-coding RNA of Corynebacterium variabile DSM 44702, 127 nucleotides long. The record is from Rfam. Lineage: Bacteria; Bacillati; Actinomycetota; Actinomycetes; Mycobacteriales; Corynebacteriaceae.
UGAGGCAACUCUGGAAAGAGCAGGUCACCGUCGUCCGUGACCCGCCGCCGAAGGAGAAAGGCACCCUAGAAAGCACACCAGCGUGGUCAUGCUGAAGCUCUCAGGCACCAUCGACAGAGUGGGGAGG